This is a small nucleolar RNA of Balaenoptera acutorostrata (minke whale), 100 nucleotides long. RefSeq annotates it as U8 small nucleolar RNA. NCBI's taxonomy places the organism in Eukaryota, Metazoa, Chordata, Mammalia, Artiodactyla, Balaenopteridae. The record is from RefSeq and is a predicted model, not a curated record. The transcript has a single exon.
UCAUCAGGUAGGAUAAUCCUCACUUGUUCCUCCUUUUGGAGGGCAGAUACAGAGUGAAGUAGGUCAGAAAGAGAACAACAAAUAUCGUACCAUAUCACAU